RNAcentral lists this ribosomal RNA (460 nucleotides) under uncultured bacterium. RNAcentral's name for it is "partial 16S ribosomal RNA". It matches the Rfam family "Bacterial small subunit ribosomal RNA", at positions 338 to 795 of the family's 1533-position model. The record is from RNAcentral.
CCUACGUGAGGCAGCAGUGAGGAAUAUUGGUCAAUGGGCGCGAGCCUGAACCAGCCAAGUAGCGUGAAGGAUGACUGCCCUACGGGUUGUAAACUUCUUUUAUAAAGGAAUAAAGUGAGGCACGUGUGCCUUUUUGUAUGUACUUUAUGAAUAAGGAUCGGCUAACUCCGUGCCAGCAGCCGCGGUAAUACGGAGGAUCCGAGCGUUAUCCGGAUUUAUUGGGUUUAAAGGGAGCGUAGAUGGGUUGUUAAGUCAGUUGUGAAAGUUUGGGGCUCAACCGUAAAAUUGCAAUUGAUACUGGCAGUCUUGAGGACAGUGGAGGUAGGCGGAAUUCGUGGUGUAGCGGUGAAAUGCUUAGAUAUCACGAAGAACUCCGAUUGCGAAGGCAGCUUACUAAACUGCCACUGACAUUGAUGCUCGAAAGUGUGGGUAUCAAACAGGAUUAGAUACCCCUGUAGUC